UACAGAGGUCCCAAGCGUUGUUCGGAUUCACUGGGCGUAAAGGGUGCGUAGGCGGUCGGGUAAGUCUGACGUGAAAUCUUCAAGCUUAACUUGGAAACUGCGUCGGAUACUAUUCGGCUGGAGGAAUGGAGGGGAGACUGGAAUACUUGGUGUAGCAGUGAAAUGCGUAGAUAUCAAGUGGAACACCAGUGGCGAAGGCGAGUCUCGGGACAUUUCCUGACGCUGAGGCACGAAAGCCAGGGGAGCAAACGGG
This 253-nucleotide ribosomal RNA is filed under the name uncultured bacterium. Its description in RNAcentral is "partial 16S ribosomal RNA". It matches the Rfam family "Bacterial small subunit ribosomal RNA", at positions 524 to 776 of the family's 1533-position model. The record is from RNAcentral.